UGGGGAAUAUUGGACAAUGGGCGAAAGCCUGAUCCAGCCAUGCCGCGUGUGUGAAAAAGGUCUUCGGAUUGUAAAGCACUUUAAGUUGGGAGGAAGGGCAGUAAGCGAAUACCUUGCUGUUUUGACGUUACCGACAGAAUAAGCACCGGCUAACUCUGUGCCAGCAGCCGCGGUAAUACAGAGGGUGCAAGCGUUAAUCGGAAUUACUGGGCGUAAAGCGCGCGUAGGUGGUUCGUUAAGUUGAAUGUGAAAGCCCCGGGCUCAACCUGGGAACUGCAUCCAAAACUGGCGAGCUAGAGUAGGGCAGAGGGUGGUGGAAUUUCCUGUGUAGCGGUGAAAUGCGUAGAUAUAGGAAGGAACACCAGUGGCGAAGGCGACCACCUGGGCUCAUACUGACACUGAGGUGCGAAAGCGUGGGGAGCAAACAGG
RNAcentral lists this ribosomal RNA (429 nucleotides) under Pseudomonadota bacterium. RNAcentral describes it as "Proteobacteria bacterium partial 16S ribosomal RNA". It matches the Rfam family "Bacterial small subunit ribosomal RNA", at positions 355 to 776 of the family's 1533-position model. The record is from RNAcentral. Lineage: Bacteria; Pseudomonadati; Pseudomonadota.